Molecule: ribosomal RNA, 468 nt
Filed under: uncultured bacterium
Lineage: Bacteria
Description: partial 16S ribosomal RNA
Rfam family: Bacterial small subunit ribosomal RNA
Source: RNAcentral
GACGAACGCUGGCGGCGUGCUUAACACAUGCAAGUCGAACGGAAAGUCCCUUCUUUUUUGGGGUGCUCGAGUGGCGAACGGGUGAGUAACACGUGAGUAACCUGCCCUUGACUUUGGGAUAACUUCAGGAAACUGGUGCUACUACCUGAUAGGAUCUCCUGCUGCAUGGUGGUUGUUGGAAAGUUUCGGCGGUUGGGGAUGGACUCGCGGCUUAUCAGCUUGUUGGUGGGGUAGUGGCUUACCAAGGCUUUGACGGGUAGCCGGCCUGAGAGGGUGACCGGCAACAUUAGGACUGAGAUACGGAACAGAAUACUAGGGGAGGCAGCAGUGGGAAAUAUUGCAGAAUGGGAGGAAGGAUGAGGAAGGAAAGCCGCGUGGGGGAUGACGGCCUUCGGGUGGUAAACCGAAUUGGAAUGUGAAGAAGAGUGAGUGACGGUAAUGGGUAAAGAAGCAACGGCUAACUACGUG